RNAcentral lists this transfer RNA (134 nucleotides) under Exophiala dermatitidis. RNAcentral's name for it is "tRNA-Leu". It matches the Rfam family "tRNA". Rfam says of the family: Transfer RNA (tRNA) molecules are approximately 80 nucleotides in length. Their secondary structure includes four short double-helical elements and three loops (D, anti-codon, and T loops). The record is from RNAcentral. Lineage: Eukaryota; Fungi; Ascomycota; Eurotiomycetes; Chaetothyriales; Herpotrichiellaceae. RNAcentral also lists the same sequence under 1 other name.
GGCAACUUGGCCGAGCUGGUUAUGGCGUCAGGUUAAGGCACUUAAGUCUUAGCACUCAAGUAUCUGAUCAUCCGAUCGGAUAGACGUUUCCUGAUGGGAGUAAUCCCGCGUGGGUUCAAGUCCCACAGUUGUCA